This 378-nucleotide RNase P RNA is filed under the name Desulfobacteraceae bacterium. RNAcentral's name for it is "RNase P RNA component class A". It matches the Rfam family "Bacterial RNase P class A". Rfam says of the family: Ribonuclease P (RNase P) is a ubiquitous endoribonuclease, found in archaea, bacteria and eukarya as well as chloroplasts and mitochondria. Its best characterised activity is the generation of mature 5'-ends of tRNAs by cleaving the 5'-leader elements of precursor-tRNAs. Lineage: Bacteria; Pseudomonadati; Thermodesulfobacteriota; Desulfobacteria; Desulfobacterales; Desulfobacteraceae. The record is from RNAcentral.
GGAGUAGUCCAGGCGGUCGCCGGUCCGUUCAGGACGGGAGGAAAGUCCGAACACCGCAGGGCAGGGUGCUCCAUAACGUGGAGUCGUGGCGACACGAAGGAAAGUGCAACAGAAAGCAUACCGCCGCGGAGGCGGCGCCGACGGCGCCUCGCCCCCGCGGUAAGGGUGAAAAGGUGCGGUAAGAGCGCACCAGUCCCCCGGGUGACCGGGGGGCUCGGCAAACCCCACCCGGUGCAAGACCAAAUAGGGGGGCGUUUGAGGGCGGCCCGUCCGAGCCCCCGGGUAGGUCGCUGGAGGUGCCGGGCAACCGGCAUCCUAGAGGAAUGACCGCCGCCCCCGCAAGGGGGAACAGAAUUCGGCUUAUGGACUGCUCCGGCC